GAGGAUGAUGCGUGCACAUAGAUCUGUGUGCAGUGCUGUGCACAGGAGGUGGCUAUGCUCUAAUGGGCACACUAACCAGUAACUGAGCACCUAGUUUAAACAUAGAUACCAGCUCUUUAACACCUGCUAAAAUACUGUCCGCAUGAGUUUAAAGACUUACUCCAAUUUCUGAAACGAAAAGCCAUGAAGGCCUGGAGCAUUUGCUGGAGAGAUAGACAGGUGUGAGAAUUAAGACACUGAGGACAACUGAAGCCAUCUUCCUCUGAGGAACAACUGAAAGCCUGCAUGGACACCGGUCAUGAGGGGCAGUUCCCUCAUUCCAGGAGUAGGGAGUCAAGCUCUUCCAAUGAACACUAUGCACGAUAGCUGCACCCACCCCACCCAUCCAUAAUACCCACCUGCAGACCAGAGAGGGGUCGGGGAGCAAGCCUAAAGUGAGUCGGAAGCAGAAAUGAUGGUCCAGCACACCUGAGAACCAAUAAAAGGUCAGGGCGGGGUUCUCCAUGCUGAGACUGCGGCACAGUGAAAAGGAGCACAAGCCGUGUGAAGAGAGGAGCAGAGGCGGCUAACAGACACAGAAUGCAGUCCUGAGAAAAACAUAUCCCAAGGGGCAGGGGGACAACACUCUACAAAAAAAAGUAAAAAUAAAAAAUAAAAUAAAUAAAAAAUGAGAGCAAAAAUUCAGCUAAAGAUGGCAAAAGGAGCAAGAGAAGAGAGAAGGGACUCUGAUUCCGGGACAGAAACAUAAGGACCAUAGCAACACAGUUCAGGAGCAUGAACACUUAGGACAUUGCGUCAAGUGCUGGGGAUGUAAUGGGUUGGCUGGGCACUUGCUUUUCAUGCACCAAUAACCAGGUGUGGAGAUGCAUGCCUGAGAUUCCAGCCCUUACGAGGUGGAGGAGUUUGAGGCCAGCCUGGGCUAUCUGAGACUGUCUCAAAAGAAAAAGAAAAACAAACAAAAAGGGCUAUUUAAUAAUAAAGAGAUGCUAGAGAGAAAAACAGGCUAUGAAGAUGGGAGAGGAAAGCAAUUGUCUAAGAAUAUGUGCACCGCAGACAAAGAAGAAGUAACGGGUUGGCUGCAACCUGGACACUCAGAAUCUUAAGGAAAAUGUGGCCAAAUGUGCAGUCAAGGCCAAGCAUGGCCAUGCAGGCCUGUAUUUUCAGAACUGAGGAGGCUGAGGCAGGAGGAUCACAAAUUCAAAGCUAGCCUGAGCUAGCAGCAAGAUCCUUCUUUCAAAACACAAAACAAAGCAUACUUAAGACUAUAGACUCUAAGACUAAAAAGUACAGUGUUUUCCAGGAAGAAGGAAUAAUGCAGAAUCAUGCACACGAGGGCCAGUGAUAUGGCUCAGCAGGUGAAGAAGCUUGCUGCCAAGCCUCAGGACCUGGGCAAAUACCCACAACCCACAUGGUGGAAAGAGAGAAGAGACUACACAACAGUCCUCUGAAUUCUACAUUUGUACCAGGUCACACUCAAACUCUCUCUCUCUCUCUCUCUCUCUCUCUCUCUCUCUCUCUCUCUCUCUCUCUCUGUGUGUGUGUGUGUGUGUGUGUGUGUGUGUGUGCAUGCGUGUGCGCGCACACCUGAUAACCAAUCCUGUGAAAGAAUCAUGCAUACCCACUCAUUUGUGGUUAAAUCUCUGAGUUCAAAAUAAAGAUCUCUGGGACUGGA
Non-coding RNA from Rattus norvegicus (Norway rat), 1672 nucleotides. NCBI's taxonomy places the organism in Eukaryota, Metazoa, Chordata, Mammalia, Rodentia, Muridae. The record is from RefSeq and is a predicted model, not a curated record.